GGGUUGUGAGGUUAAGCGACUAAGCGUACACGGUGGAUGCCCUGGCAGUCAGAGGCGAUGAAGGACGUGCUAAUCUGCGAAAAGCGUCGGUAAGGUGAUAUGAACCGUUAUAGCCGGCGAUGUCCGAAUGGGGAAACCCAGUGCAAUUCGUUGCACUAUCGUUUGAUGAAUACAUAGUCAAACGAAGCGAACCGGGGGAACUGAAACAUCUAAGUACCCCGAGGAAAAGAAAUCAACCGAGAUUCCCCCAGUAGCGGCGAGCGAACGGGGAGCAGCCCGGAGUCUGAAUCAGCUUGUGUGUUAGUGGAAGCGUCUGGAAAGUCGCAGGGUACAGGGUGAUACUCCCGUACACUAAAACACACAGGCUGUGAACUCGAAGAGUAGGGCGGGACACGUGGUAUCCUGUCUGAAUAUGGGGGGACCAUCCUCCAAGGCUAAAUACUCCUGACUGACCGAUAGUGAACCAGUACCGUGAGGGAAAGGCGAAAAGAACCCCGGCGAGGGGAGUGAAAAAGAACCUGAAACCGUGUACGUACAAGCAGUAGGAGCCUCUUUAUGGGGUGACUGCGUACCUUUUGUAUAAUGGGUCAGCGACUUAUAUUCUGUAGCAAGGUUAACCGUAUAGGGGAGCCGCAGGGAAACCGAGUCUUAACUGGGCGUUAAGUUGCAGGGUAUAGACCCGAAACCCGGUGAUCUAGCCAUGGGCAGGUUGAAGGUUGGGUAACACUAACUGGAGGACCGAACCGACUAAUGUUGAAAAAUUAGCGGAUGACUUGUGGCUGGGGGUGAAAGGCCAAUCAAACCGGGAGAUAGCUGGUUCUCCCCGAAAGCUAUUUAGGUAGCGCCUCGUGAACUCAUCUUCGGGGGUAGAGCACUGUUUCGGCUAGGGGGUCAUCCCGACUUACCAACCCGAUGCAAACUACGAAUACCGAAGAAUGUUAUCACGGGAGACACACGGCGGGUGCUAACGUCCGUCGUGAAGAGGGAAACAACCCAGACCGCCAGCUAAGGUCCCAAAGUCAUGGUUAAGUGGGAAACGAUGUGGGAAGGCCCAGACAGCCAGGAUGUUGGCUUAGAAGCAGCCAUCAUUUAAAGAAAGCGUAAUAGCUCACUGGUCGAGUCGGCCUGCGCGGAAGAUGUAACGGGGCUAAACCAUGCACCGAAGCUGCGGCAGCGACACUAUGUGUUGUUGGGUAGGGGAGCGUUCUGUAAGCCGUUGAAGGUGGCCUGUGAGGGUUGCUGGAGGUAUCAGAAGUGCGAAUGCUGACAUAAGUAACGAUAAUGCGGGUGAAAAACCCGCACGCCGGAAGACCAAGGGUUCCUGUCCAACGUUAAUCGGGGCAGGGUGAGUCGACCCCUAAGGCGAGGCCGAAAGGCGUAGUCGAUGGGAAACAGGUUAAUAUUCCUGUACUCGGUGUUACUGCGAAGGGGGGACGGAGAAGGCUAUGUUGGCCGGGCGACGGUUGUCCCGGUUUAAGCAUGUAGGCGGAUGUUCCAGGUAAAUCCGGAACGUUACUAACGCUGAGGUGUGAUGACGAGGCACUACGGUGCUGAAGUGACAAAUGCCCUGCUUCCAGGAAAAGCCUCUAAGCAUCAGGUAACAUCAAAUCGUACCCCAAACCGACACAGGUGGUCAGGUAGAGAAUACCAAGGCGCUUGAGAGAACUCGGGUGAAGGAACUAGGCAAAAUGGUGCCGUAACUUCGGGAGAAGGCACGCUGAUAGGUAGGUGAAGUGGUUUACCCAUGGAGCUGAAAUCAGUCGAAGAUACCAGCUGGCUGCAACUGUUUAUUAAAAACACAGCACUGUGCAAACACGAAAGUGGACGUAUACGGUGUGACGCCUGCCCGGUGCCGGAAGGUUAAUUGAUGGGGUUAUCCGUAAGGAGAAGCUCUUGAUCGAAGCCCCGGUAAACGGCGGCCGUAACUAUAACGGUCCUAAGGUAGCGAAAUUCCUUGUCGGGUAAGUUCCGACCUGCACGAAUGGCGUAAUGAUGGCCAGGCUGUCUCCACCCGAGACUCAGUGAAAUUGAACUCGCUGUGAAGAUGCAGUGUACCCGCGGCAAGACGGAAAGACCCCGUGAACCUUUACUAUAGCUUGACACUGAACACUGGUCCUUGAUGUGUAGGAUAGGUGGGAGGCUUUGAAGCGUGGACGCCAGUCUGCGUGGAGCCAUCCUUGAAAUACCACCCUUUAAUGGCUGGUGUUCUAACGUGGGCCCGUUAUCCGGGUUGCGGACAGUGUCUGGUGGGUAGUUUGACUGGGGCGGUCUCCUCCUAAAGAGUAACGGAGGAGCACGAAGGUCAGCUAAUCCUGGUCGGACAUCAGGAGGUUAGUGCAAUGGCAUAAGCUGGCUUGACUGCGAGCGUGACGGCGCGAGCAGGUGCGAAAGCAGGUCAUAGUGAUCCGGUGGUUCUGAAUGGAAGGGCCAUCGCUCAACGGAUAAAAGGUACUCCGGGGAUAACAGGCUGAUACCGCCCAAGAGUUCAUAUCGACGGCGGUGUUUGGCACCUCGAUGUCGGCUCAUCACAUCCUGGGGCUGAAGUAGGUCCCAAGGGUAUGGCUGUUCGCCAUUUAAAGUGGUACGCGAGCUGGGUUUAGAACGUCGUGAGACAGUUCGGUCCCUAUCUGCCGUGGGCGCUGGAGAAUUGAGGGGGGCUGCUCCUAGUACGAGAGGACCGGAGUGGACGCAUCACUGGUGUUCGGGUUGUCAUGCCAAUGGCAUUGCCCGGUAGCUAAAUGCGGAAGAGAUAAGUGCUGAAAGCAUCUAAGCACGAAACUUGCCCCGAGAUGAGUUCUCCCUGACUCCUUGAGAGUCCUGAAGGAACGUUGAAGACGACGACGUUGAUAGGCCGGGUGUGUAAGCGCAGCGAUGCGUUGAGCUAACCGGUACUAAUGAACCGUGAGGCUUAACCUUACAACGCCGAAG
RNAcentral lists this ribosomal RNA (2928 nucleotides) under Klebsiella grimontii. RNAcentral describes it as "23S ribosomal RNA". It matches the Rfam family "Bacterial large subunit ribosomal RNA". The record is from RNAcentral. Lineage: Bacteria; Pseudomonadati; Pseudomonadota; Gammaproteobacteria; Enterobacterales; Enterobacteriaceae.